GACGAACGCUGGCGGCGUGCUUAACACAUGCAAGUCGAGCGGUAAGGCCCUUUCGGGGGUACACGAGCGGCGAACGGGUGAGUAACACGUGGGUGACCUGCCCUCAGCUCUGGGAUAAGCCUGGGAAACCGGGUCUAAUACUGGAUAUGACUCCAUGACGCAUGUUGUGGGGUGGAAAGCCUUGUGCGGCUGAGGAUGGGCCCGCGGCCUAUCAGCUUGUUGGUGGGGU
Molecule: ribosomal RNA, 229 nt
Filed under: uncultured bacterium
Lineage: Bacteria
Description: partial 16S ribosomal RNA
Rfam family: Bacterial small subunit ribosomal RNA
Source: RNAcentral